AAGCAUAUCAAUAAGCGGAGGAAAACAAACUAACAAGGAUUCCCCUAGUAACGGCGAGCGAACCGGGAAGAGCCCAGAAUGAAAAUCUCCCUUUGGAGAAUUGUAGUCUAUAGAAGCAACCUCUGUAGCGCGCGGUCCUCAAGUCCUCUGGAAAGGGGCAUCAGAGAGGGUGACAAUCCCGUCGGGACCGUAGCUGCUGCCUCACGAGGUGCUUUCACAGAGUCGGGUUGCUUGGGAAUGCAGCCCUAAUUUGGUGGUAAAUCCCAUCUAAGGCUAAAUACUGGCGAGAGACCGAUAGCGAACAAGUACCGUGAGGGAAAGAUGAAAAGAACUUUGAAAAGAGAGUUAAAAAGUGCUUGAAAUUGUUGAGGGGGAAGCGAUUGGAGGCUAUGGGUGCGCCUAGGCUUACGCGUCCUUAACGGGGCGCUGCAUGUGCUAGGCGCUGGUCAGCAAGGGUUGGGCCAGCAGGAUAACAGCAAGGGUUGUUACCUUGUCUAUACUGCUUGCCCGACCAAGGCGUGAAGGCUGCCCUUGUCCUUCGGGAACUGCAGCCUCAAGUUGCUGGCGGAAGGUUUCCAAUUGACCCGUCUUGAA
RNAcentral lists this ribosomal RNA (594 nucleotides) under Bracteacoccus sp. KP-13A. RNAcentral describes it as "eukaryotic LSU rRNA". It matches the Rfam family "Eukaryotic large subunit ribosomal RNA", at positions 36 to 658 of the family's 3401-position model. The record is from RNAcentral. Lineage: Eukaryota; Viridiplantae; Chlorophyta; Chlorophyceae; Sphaeropleales; Bracteacoccaceae.